GAUGAAGAACGUAGCGAAAUGCGAUAAGUAAUGUGAAUUGCAGAUUUCAGUGAAUCAUCGAAUCUUUGAACGCAAGUUGCGCCCGAAGCCAUUAGGCCGAGGGCACGCCUGCCUGGGCGUCACACGUCGUUGCCCCCCCAUCUACUCCUUCGGGAUUGCGGGGGGCGGAUGAUGGCCUCCCGUGCGCCUCGUCGCGCGGUUGGCAUAAAUGCCAAGUCCUCGGCGACGCACGCCACGACAAUCGGUGGUUGCGAAACCUCGGUUGCCCGUCGUGUGCGGUCGUCGCGCAUCGAGGGCUCGAAAAAAUUGCCGGGCUCCGGCUCGGCUUUCAACGCGACCCCAGGUCAGGCGGGGUUACCCGCUGAAUUUAAGCAUAUCAAUAAGCGGAGGA
This 391-nucleotide unclassified non-coding RNA is filed under the name soil metagenome. RNAcentral describes it as "partial contains 5.8S ribosomal RNA, internal transcribed spacer 2, and large subunit ribosomal RNA". The stretch from base 1 to 122 matches the Rfam family "5.8S ribosomal RNA", at positions 35 to 154 of the family's 154-position model. The record is from RNAcentral.